RNAcentral lists this ribosomal RNA (1431 nucleotides) under uncultured organism. RNAcentral's name for it is "16S ribosomal RNA". It matches the Rfam family "Bacterial small subunit ribosomal RNA". The record is from RNAcentral.
GCUUAACACAUGCAAGUCGAGGGGCAGCAUUCCUGUUUGCUUGCAAACUGGAGAUGGCGACCGGCGCACGGGUGAGUAACACGUAUCCAACCUGCCGAUAACUCGGGGAUAGCCUUUCGAAAGAAAGAUUAAUACCCGAUGGUAUAAUCAGACCGCAUGGUCUUGUUAUUAAAGAAUUUCGGUUAUCGAUGGGGAUGCGUUCCAUUAGGCAGUUGGUGAGGUAACGGCUCACCAAACCUUCGAUGGAUAGGGGUUCUGAGAGGAAGGUCCCCCACAUUGGAACUGAGACACGGUCCAAACUCCUACGGGAGGCAGCAGUGAGGAAUAUUGGUCAAUGGGCGCAGGCCUGAACCAGCCAAGUAGCGUGAAGGAUGACUGCCCUAUGGGUUGUAAACUUCUUUUAUAUGGGAAUAAAGUUUUCCACGUGUGGAAUUUUGUAUGUACCAUAUGAAUAAGGAUCGGCUAACUCCGUGCCAGCAGCCGCGGUAAUACGGAGGAUCCGAGCGUUAUCCGGAUUUAUUGGGUUUAAAGGGAGCGUAGGUGGACAGUUAAGUCAGUUGUGAAAGUUUGCGGCUCAACCGUAAAAUUGCAGUUGAUACUGGCUGUCUUGAGUACAGUAGAGGUGGGCGGAAUUCGUGGUGUAGCGGUGAAAUGCUUAGAUAUCACGAAGAACUCCGAUUGCGAAGGCAGCUCACUGGACUGCAACUGACACUGAUGCUCGAAAGUGUGGGUAUCAAACAGGAUUAGAUACCCUGGUAGUCCACACAGUAAACGAUGAAUACUCGCUGUUUGCGAUAUACAGUAAGCGGCCAAGCGAAAGCAUUAAGUAUUCCACCUGGGGAGUACGCCGGCAACGGUGAAACUCAAAGGAAUUGACGGGGGCCCGCACAAGCGGAGGAACAUGUGGUUUAAUUCGAUGAUACGCGAGGAACCUUACCCGGGCUUAAAUUGCAUUUGAAUAUAUUGGAAACAGUAUAGCCGUAAGGCAAAUGUGAAGGUGCUGCAUGGUUGUCGUCAGCUCGUGCCGUGAGGUGUCGGCUUAAGUGCCAUAACGAGCGCAACCCUUAUCUUUAGUUACUAACAGGUCAUGCUGAGGACUCUAGAGAGACUGCCGUCGUAAGAUGUGAGGAAGGUGGGGAUGACGUCAAAUCAGCACGGCCCUUACGUCCGGGGCUACACACGUGUUACAAUGGGGGGUACAGAAGGCAGCUACCUGGUGACAGGAUGCUAAUCCCAAAAGCCUCUCUCAGUUCGGAUCGAAGUCUGCAACCCGACUUCGUGAAGCUGGAUUCGCUAGUAAUCGCGCAUCAGCCAUGGCGCGGUGAAUACGUUCCCGGGCCUUGUACACACCGCCCGUCAAGCCAUGAAAGCCGGGGGUACCUGAAGUACGUAACCGCAAGGAGCGUCCUAGGGUAAAACUGGUAAUUGGGG